AUGUCUUGGAAGAAUCUCUCUGUACCAAAAACUGAAGGAGGCAUGGGAUUCCGUGAUUUUAAGCUAUUUAACCUAGCCCUACUUGGCAAGCACUGGUGGAGGCUGCUGACACACCCUAACUCCUUGCGCUCCAGAGUUCUGAGAAGCAAGUACUUUCCUAACUGUGGUUUCAUGGAUGCUAUAGCACCUCGUUCGGUGUUUGCUACGUGGAAGACAAUUAUUUCAGGAGAAGUUGCAUUGGAGCAAGGUUUGAUCAAGAGAGUGGGGGAUGGCGAAUCCAUCUCUAUCUGGACGGAUCGUUGGAUACCAAACACGACCACUCUCAUGCCCAUGGGGCGCAUUGGGAACGAUCCUAUACAUCGUGUCUCGGAGUUGAUGGAUCAUGAUAAUGGUACUUGGGACGUGGAGCUAGUUCGAAGGAACUUUCUUGCACCAGAUGCGGAAGCUAUUUUGAACAUACCAUUGAGAUCGGCUGGUGGUGAGGAUUAUCUUGCUUGGCAAGGUUGUCAGAAUCGUGAUUUUGAAUCAAAUCGGAGCUCUGAUGGCAGGAUCGCAAAUCGUAGAAUCUUCACUAUCAGGAUCGUAGAAACAUAG
RNAcentral lists this ribosomal RNA (594 nucleotides) under Triticum aestivum (bread wheat). RNAcentral's name for it is "partial small subunit ribosomal RNA". The record is from RNAcentral. Lineage: Eukaryota; Viridiplantae; Streptophyta; Magnoliopsida; Poales; Poaceae.